UCAGCUUUGCUUUUAAAUUAGUUGGGAUCC
RNAcentral lists this non-coding RNA (30 nucleotides) under Mus musculus (house mouse). The record is from RNAcentral. Lineage: Eukaryota; Metazoa; Chordata; Mammalia; Rodentia; Muridae.